This 253-nucleotide ribosomal RNA is filed under the name uncultured bacterium. RNAcentral's name for it is "partial 16S ribosomal RNA". It matches the Rfam family "Bacterial small subunit ribosomal RNA", at positions 524 to 776 of the family's 1533-position model. The record is from RNAcentral.
UACGGAGGGUGCAAGCGUUAUCCGGAUUCACUGGGUUUAAAGGGUGCGUAGGUGGGUUGGUAAGUCAGUGGUGAAAUCUCCGAGCUUAACUUGGAAACUGCCAUUGAUACUAUCAGUCUUGAAUAUUGAGGAGGUCAGCGGAAUAUGUCAUGUAGCGGUGAAAUGCUUAGAUAUGACAUAGAACACCAAUUGCGAAGGCAGCUGGCUACGCAUAUAUUGACACUGAGGCACGAAAGCGUGGGGAUCAAACAGG